AUAGUUACCAGGCAGGGAGAUCCAGGAUGAGGUUUAUCCAUUGUACUCCAGAUGUGCUGACCGAUGUGAUUGAUUUCCUCAAACGACAGAAAGUCAACUGUAUAAUUUGUUGGAGGCUUUGUUCCCAGUUCCCCCUG
This 137-nucleotide small nuclear RNA is filed under the name Mus caroli (Ryukyu mouse). RNAcentral describes it as "predicted gene, 23230 (MGP_CAROLIEiJ_G0035306.1)". It matches the Rfam family "U1 spliceosomal RNA". Rfam says of the family: U1 is a small nuclear RNA (snRNA) component of the spliceosome (involved in pre-mRNA splicing). Its 5' end forms complementary base pairs with the 5' splice junction, thus defining the 5' donor site of an intron. Lineage: Eukaryota; Metazoa; Chordata; Mammalia; Rodentia; Muridae. The record is from RNAcentral.